This 284-nucleotide long non-coding RNA is filed under the name Coffea arabica (coffee). Its description in RNAcentral is "long non-coding RNA (CARA_LNC007111)". Lineage: Eukaryota; Viridiplantae; Streptophyta; Magnoliopsida; Gentianales; Rubiaceae. The record is from RNAcentral.
UAAUGUUUGCAUUAAGGGGAGAUAUUAUUACAUAAGAAUAUUGUACUCUUUUUCCUUCACUAGAAUUUUUGUCCCACUGAAUUUUUCCCUAGUAAAGUUUUAACAAGGCAUAUUCUUUGUGUAAUGGACAUCCAAAGGAGAGUGUUAUGAAAUAAUUAUAAGAUGUGGAUGUCCGUUUAUAUUCUCAAGAACGAAAAUACAUGUAUUCUCUCUAGGUUCAUUGGUACAUUGAAUGAACCCAUUUAUGGAUGUACUUAAGGUACUAAAUUCAUGUUUUGGUAUUU